CAAGACUUUGGGAAACUGUUAGCAGGGCCUUAGGAGCACUUUUGCUCUUGGGGGGCAGCCUUGCUCUAUUGCUCGUUGGCACUGAGGGAAGCUCUCUGGGGAGAGGAGCCCACCAAUGCUUGGCUGACAAGACCUCAGUCAUGUCUGAUGUGGCUUCACCUUUGCUGCCGUCUUCGUAUCACUAGGGGAGCCCUGUGGAGUGGGGUGGAGUUCAAGAUGGAUUCUCAAGAAGUUAUAGGAAGCUCUUUAUCAAUUCAAUUCCUGAGAAGGGCCCACUUCAGGGAUGUUACAGUGCAGACAAAGAUUCUGGUGCCUCACAAGAUUUGACACAAGCCAGCGCUUUGUUGUUUUUCUCACCUGUUGGCCAGAAGAUUAUCUUGGAGCAGGAAAAGGU
This 394-nucleotide long non-coding RNA is filed under the name Homo sapiens (human). RNAcentral's name for it is "non-protein coding lnc-PTS-3:2". The record is from RNAcentral. Lineage: Eukaryota; Metazoa; Chordata; Mammalia; Primates; Hominidae.